RNAcentral lists this ribosomal RNA (421 nucleotides) under uncultured bacterium. Its description in RNAcentral is "bacterial SSU rRNA". It matches the Rfam family "Bacterial small subunit ribosomal RNA", at positions 102 to 509 of the family's 1533-position model. The record is from RNAcentral.
ACGGGUGAGUAACACGUGGGUAACCUACCCAUCAGAGGGGGAUAACACUUGGAAACAGGUGCUAAUACCGCAUAACAGUUUAUGCCGCAUGGCAUAAGAGUGAAAGGCGCUUUCGGGUGUCGCUGAUGGAUGGACCCGCGGUGCAUUAGCUAGUUGGUGAGGUAACGGCUCACCAAGGCCACGAUGCAUAGCCGACCUGAGAGGGUGAUCGGCCACACUGGGACUGAGACACGGCCCAGACUCCUACGGGAGGCAGCAGUAGGGAAUCUUCGGCAAUGGACGAAAGUCUGACCGAGCAACGCCGCGUGAGUGAAGAAGGUUUUCGGAUCGUAAAACUCUGUUGUUAGAGAAGAACAAGGACGUUAGUAACUGAACGUCCCCUGACGGUAUCUAACCAGAAAGCCACGGCUAACUACGUGCC